Molecule: long non-coding RNA, 711 nt
Organism: Cygnus olor (mute swan)
Lineage: Eukaryota; Metazoa; Chordata; Aves; Anseriformes; Anatidae
Exons: 3
Source: RefSeq, a predicted model, not a curated record
GCUUUGAUUUUGGCUUUUGCAAGAGAAAUAAUUUCCCAUAUAAAGGAAAGAGCCCAGAUGAACAGGAUGGAAGAACUGGCUCACGUGACGGGGAGAGAGUGGAGUCAACUAGAAGCCCAAGUCCGGCUUCCCAAAGUCGGUCUGUAUCCUGUGAGCCCCCAAAUAAUGUCAUGGCUCUGAUCCUGGAUGCCACGAGAUGUCUACAAGAAAACGAAUACCUGGCCCUCUCCUGGAGGAUGCUGGAGCACUUCAUCAACUACGUACAGCACUGCUGAAGAGGCAGAAAGAAGUGAGUGCUCCAAGACAUCAUCUUGUUUGUGUGCUGGUCCCACAGAGCCCCAGCUGAGCCCCUGCAGUGCUGUGCACUCUCUGGAUGGAGUGUCACCUACCAAGGAUGCAGCAAAUGCAUGCACAAGGAAGCUUUAAAAUAUGGCAGGGCAUCAUUAUUGACGUAGAAAGAUUAAUGGUGAUGUUGUUCCCUGUAGCCUGCAAGAGAUGAAUGUGUCUGUUUAAAGCUCUCAGGCUCUGAGCUCCUCGAAGUAUCCUUCCUUAAUGCUGAUGGGUAAAUCCAUACCUAAGCGUGCUGUAAUUUGUUGCAAGUAGCCUCUUCUCUCCCCUUUGGGUAUUCCUGUGCUCAUAUCUUUGCCAUCAAAGACAGAACUUCCUUAAUCUUUCUUCCUUCUUCAUUAAAUUCACAGCUUUGGUAAUUUA